GAAAGUAAAGAAGGGCGCAUGGCGGAUGCCUUGGCUCUCGGAGGCGAUGAAGGACGUGAUAAGCUGCGAUAAGCUUUGGGGAGGUGCAAAUGACCUUUGAUCCAGAGAUUUCCGAAUGGGACAACCCAAUAUCUUGAAGAGGUAUUAUCCAACGUUGUUGGAGGCUAACGCAGGGAACUGAAACAUCUUAGUACCUGCAGGAAAAGAAAAUAAACAAUGAUUCCCCCAGUAGUGGCGAGCGAACGGGGAACAGCCCAAACCAUCCAUGUUACGGCAUGUGUGGGGUUGUAGGACUACGCCGUUGCAUGAAGACAUCAGAGAAGAACUUUCUGGAAAGAAAGACCAUAGAGCAUGACAGUUGCGUAUUCGAAUGUUGUCGAAGCAUAGUAGUAUCCUGAGUAGCGCGGAGCACGAGGAAUUCUGCGUGAAUCUGCCGGGACCAUCCGGUAAGGCUAAAUACUCCCGAGAGACCGAUAGCGAACCAGUACCGUGAGGGAAAGGUGAAAAGCACUUCGAACAGAAGAGUGAAAUAGUUCCUGAAACCGUGCGCCUACAAGCGGUCGGAGCUCGUUAAUGAGUGACGGCGUGCCUUUUGCAUAAUGAACCUACGAGUUGCCUUUGCCGGCAAGGUUAAGUGUGACGACACACGUAUCCGAAGCGAAAGCGAGUCUGAAUAGGGCGUAUAGUCGGCAGUGGCAGACGCGAAACCAAGUGAUCUACCCUUGGCCAGGUUGAAGGCUGGGUAACACCAGCUGGAGGACCGCACCAAUAAGCGUUGAAAAGCUUCUGGAUGAGCUGAGGGUAGGGGUGAAAGGCUAAUCAAACUUGGAGAUAGCUCGUACUCCCCGAAAUGCAUUUAGGUGCAGCCUUGCGGGUUACUGAUGUGAGGUAGAGCGACUGAUAAGAUGCGAGGGCUUCACCGCCUAUCAAGUCUUGACAAACUCCGAAUGCGCAUCAGUUCUACCGCAGGAGUGAGGGCAUGGGUGCUAAGGUCCGUGCCCGAGAGGAGAAGAAUCCGGACCACCUGCUAAGGUCCCGAAAUGACAGCUAAGUUAAACUAACGAAGUCUGACUGCUAAGACAGCUAGGAUGUUGGCUUGGAAGCAGCCAUUCAUUUAAAGAGUGCGUAACAGCUCACUAGUCGAGGAGUCGGGCGUGGAUAAUAAUCGGGUAUCAAGUUGUCUACCGAAGCAGUGGGAUCAUUUAUAUGAUCGGUAGGGGAGCAUUCCAGUCAGCGUCGAAGGCGUACCGUGAGGUAUUCUGGAGCGUCUGGAAAAGCAAAUGUAGGUAUAAGUAACGAUAAAGGGGGCGGGAAACCCCCUCGCCGAAAGACUAAGGUUUCCUGAUCAACGCUAAUCGGAUCAGGGUCAGUCGGGUCCUAAGGCUCAGCCGAACGGCGAUGCCGAUGGCAGAAACGGUUAAUAUUCCGUUACUACCUUCAGGAGUGACGUGGAGACGCAGUAGUGACAGUGCCGCCAUCUGACGGAAUAGAUGGUUGAAGGGUGUAGGAGUCGAUCAUGGCAGGCAAAUCCACCAUGAGAUCCGAACCUGACAGUAUGCCGCGUCCUUCGGGACAAGGCAAUAGUGCGCGUAAGCAUGCUGCCGAGAAAAUCCGCUAAACUUAAUCCUGCAGGUACCCGUACCGCAAACGGACACACGUAGUCGGGAUGAAUAUUCUAAGGCGCUUGAGUGAUUCACGGUUAAGGAACUAGGCAAACUGACCCUGUAACUUCGGGAUAAAGGGUCCCUACCCUUUUAUGGGAGGGCGCAGAGAAUCGGUCCAGGCAACUGUUUAACAAAAACACAGGGCUGUGCCAAAUCGAAAGAUCCAGUAUACAGCCUGACACCUGCCCGGUGCUGGAAGGUUAAGAGGAGAUGUCAUCGAUGAGAGAAGCGUUGAAUUGAAGCCCCAGUAAACGGCGGCCGUAACUAUAACGGUCCUAAGGUAGCGAAAUUCCUUGUCGGGUAAGUUCCGACCUGCACGAAUGGUGUAAUGAUCUGGACGCUGUCUCAACCGUGAGCUCAGUGAAAUUGUAGUAUCGGUGAAGAUGCCGAUUACCCGCGAUGGGACGAAAAGACCCCGUGAACCUUUACUAUAGCUUAUCAUUGAAUCUGGGCACGUGAUGUGUAGGAUAGGUCGGAGGCUUUGAAGCAGGUACGCCAGUAUUUGUGGAGCCGCUGUUGAAAUACGACCCUUUAUUUGUUUGGAUUCUAACCCGUGGAACGGGGACAUUGAUUGGUGGGUAGUUUGACUGGGGUGGUCGCCUCCAAAAGCGUAACGGAGGCUUCUA
RNAcentral lists this ribosomal RNA (2290 nucleotides) under human gut metagenome. Its description in RNAcentral is "bacterial LSU rRNA". It matches the Rfam family "Bacterial large subunit ribosomal RNA", at positions 1 to 2312 of the family's 2925-position model. The record is from RNAcentral.